UACGGAGGGGGCAAGCGUUGUUCGGAAUUACUGGGCGUAAAGGGCUCGUAGGCGGCCAACUAAGUCAUACGUGAAAUCCCUCAGCUUAACUGGGGAACUGCGUGUGAUACUGGAUGGCUUGGAUGUGGGAGAGGGAUGCGGAAUUCCAGGUGUAGCGGUGAAAUGCGUAGAUAUCUGGAGGAACACCGGUGGCGAAGGCGGCAUCCUGGACCAUUAUUGACGCUGAGGAGCGAAAGCCAGGGGAGCAAACGGG
RNAcentral lists this ribosomal RNA (253 nucleotides) under uncultured bacterium. RNAcentral describes it as "partial 16S ribosomal RNA". It matches the Rfam family "Bacterial small subunit ribosomal RNA", at positions 524 to 776 of the family's 1533-position model. The record is from RNAcentral.